UCCGAACCUGGGACCCACCUGCUGGCUCAGGACUGCUGGAAGUAAAGAAUCCCUGCCCUGGUUGCUGACCACGUGAGUCCCCUCCAUCAUGGACCCUGCUCCUGCAUCCUGCACCGGUGUCACAAAGAUUUCUUCUCUGUCUUCUCAUCUGUGCUUCUGCAGGCCAGGGUGGGGAUGGCCCUGGAAGAUACUUGAGGAAACCGGCAGAGCCUCUGGGAGCCUGGGUCCCUGUGGUCCCAUCCUCUGCUGACCAGAACCUGUACAGACCAC
This 270-nucleotide long non-coding RNA is filed under the name Fukomys damarensis (Damara mole-rat). RNAcentral describes it as "lncRNA (ENSFDAG00000032573.1)". Lineage: Eukaryota; Metazoa; Chordata; Mammalia; Rodentia; Bathyergidae. The record is from RNAcentral.